Molecule: ribosomal RNA, 2251 nt
Filed under: Clostridium botulinum CB11/1-1
Lineage: Bacteria; Bacillati; Bacillota; Clostridia; Eubacteriales; Clostridiaceae
Description: bacterial LSU rRNA
Rfam family: Bacterial large subunit ribosomal RNA
Source: RNAcentral
GGGAAACCCCAUGUAUCGUAAAGUGAAUACAUAGCUUUAUGAAGGUAAACCCAGGGAACUGAAACAUCUAAGUACCUGGAGGAAGAGAAAGAAAAAUCGAUUUUCUUAGUAGCGGCGAGCGAAAGGGAAAGAGCCCAAACCAAAGAUUUAUCUUUGGGGUUGCGGACAGAACAUUAACGAGAAAUUAUGGUUAACCGAACACAACUGGAAAGUUGGACCGUAGGGGGUAAUAGUCCUGUAGGUGAAAAUUAUAAUGAUCAAGUUCUGAUCCAGAGUACCACGAGACACGUGAAACCUUGUGGGAAGCAGGGAGGACCACCUCCCAAGGCUAAAUACUACCUGAUGACCGAUAGUGAAGCAGUACCGUGAGGGAAAGGUGAAAAGAACCCCGGGAGGGGAGUGAAAUAGAACCUGAAACCAUGUGCCUACAACCGAUCAAAGCACCUUAUGUGUGUGAUGAUGUGCUUUUUGUAGAACGAGCCAACGAGUUACGGUAUGUAGCAAGGUUAAGUACUUAAGGUACGGAGCCGAAGGGAAACCGAGUCUUAAUAGGGCGACUAGUUGCAUGCUGUAGACCCGAAACCGGGUGACCUAUCCAUGGCCAGGUUGAAGCGAGGGUAAAACCUCGUGGAGGACCGAACCACGUUGCUGUUGAAAAAGCAUGGGAUGAGCUGUGGAUAGCGGAGAAAUUCCAAUCGAACUCGGAUAUAGCUGGUUCUCCUCGAAAUAGCUUUAGGGCUAGCGUCGGAAAAUGUGAGUACUGGGGGUAGAGCACUGAAUGGGCUAGGGGGCAUAGCGCUUACCGAACCUUAUCAAACUCCGAAUACCAGAUACUAUCAGUCCGGCAGUCAGACUGCGAAAGAUAAGUUCCGUAGUCAAAAGGGAAACAGCCCAGAUCGUCAGCUAAGGUCCCAAAGUGUAAGUUAAGUGGAAAAGGAUGUGGGAUUUCUAAGACAACUAGGAUGUUGGCUUAGAAGCAGCCACUCAUUAAAAGAGUGCGUAAUAGCUCACUAGUCAAGAGAUCCUGCGCCGAAAAUGUCCGGGGCUCAAACUUACCACCGAAGCUACGGGUUCACACAAUAGUGUGAGCGGUAGAGGAGCGUCGUAAUCGGGCUGAAGUCGUACCGUAAGGAGCGGUGGACUGAUUACGAGUGAGAAUGUUGGCAUUAGUAGCGAGAUGUGGGUGAGAAUCCCACAGGCCGAAUACCUAAGGUUUCCUCAGGAAGGUUCGUCCGCUGAGGGUUAGUCGGGACCUAAGCUGAGGCCGAAAGGCGUAAGCGAUGGACAAUCGGUUGAUAUUCCGAUACCACUAUUAUCGUUAUUAUCGAUGGUGUGACGGAGAAGGAUAGGAUGUGCUAGCUAUUGGAUGCUAGUCUAAGCGUUUAGGGAGUUAGGAUAGGCAAAUCCGUUCUAACAAUUCUGAGGCGUGAUGGGGAAGGUUCUAAGGAACCGAAGUAUCUGAUUCCAUGCUUCCAAGAAAAGCAUCUAGAAAGAGAAAUAGUGCCCGUACCGCAAACCGACACAGGUAGGUGAGGAGAGAAUCCUAAGGCCGGCGGAAGAAUUGCAGUUAAGGAACUAGGCAAAUUGACCCCGUAACUUCGGGAGAAGGGGUGCCUGCGAGAGCAGGCCGCAGAGAAUAGGCACAAGCAACUGUUUAACAAAAACACAGGUCUCUGCUAAAGCGAAAGCUGAUGUAUAGGGGCUGACGCCUGCCCGGUGCUGGAAGGUUAAGGGGAACACUUAGCGUAAGCGAAGGUGUGAACUUAAGCCCCAGUAAACGGCGGCCGUAACUAUAACGGUCCUAAGGUAGCGAAAUUCCUUGUCAGGUAAGUUCUGACCCGCACGAAUGGCGUAAUGACUUGUGCACUGUCUCAACUGCAAAUCCGGCGAAGUUGUAGUGCGAGUGAAGAUGCUCGCUACCCGCGAUUGGACGGAAAGACCCCGUAGAGCUUUACUGUAGCUUAGCAUUGAAUUUCGGUAUUGUCUGUACAGGAUAGGUGGGAGACUGGGAAAUCAGAGCGUCAGCUUUGAUGGAGUCAUCCUUGGGAUACCACCCUGAUAGUACUGGAAUUCUAACUGGAUGCCAUGAAUCUGGUGACAGGACAUUGUUAGGUGGGCAGUUUGACUGGGGCGGUCGCCUCCUAAAAAGUAACGGAGGCGCCCAAAGGUUCCCUCAGAACGGUCGGAAAUCGUUCGUAGAGUGCAAAGGCAUAAGGGAGCCUGACUGCGAGACCUACAAGUCGAGCAGGGA